CAAAUGUCUCCUUGAAAGGGGAGGGUGGUCCUGAGAGGGGACAUUAGGACAUAGCAUGAGAGCCACCAGGCUCUGGGCUGCAGAGGAGGUUGGAGGUGACCUUCCAGAAGGAAUGAGGACAUGGCAGACCAGCUGCCCCCUCCCCCAGGGUCAUAGCAUGACUCUGCUGUUAUGGACCACACCCUCCCACUGCUAUGAUGGACCACACCCUCCCACUGCUAUGAUGGACCACACCCUCCCACUGCUAUGAUGGACCACACCCUCUCACUGCUGUGAUGGACUACACCCUCCCUCAUCUAUGAUUACCUGCACCCUCUCUCCUCAAUGAUGGACCACACCCUCCCUCCUCUAUGAUUACCUGCACCCUCCCUCCUCUAUGAUGGACCAACCCUCCCUCCUCCAUGAUGGACUGCACCCUCCCUCCUCUAUGGUGGACCUAAGAGUGCAUGAUGGACUGCACCCUCCUACUGCUAUGAUCAACAACACCUUCCCACUGUGAACCAAGAUACAUAAAACUUUUCUCUUAAGUUGCUUUU
Mastomys coucha (southern multimammate mouse) is the source of this 536-nucleotide long non-coding RNA. RefSeq lists it as uncharacterized. NCBI's taxonomy places the organism in Eukaryota, Metazoa, Chordata, Mammalia, Rodentia, Muridae. The record is from RefSeq and is a predicted model, not a curated record. The transcript has 2 exons.